CUACAGAGGGUGCAAGCGUUAAUCGGAAUUACUGGGCGUAAAGCGCGCGUAGGCGGUUUGUUAAGUCGGAUGUGAAAUCCCCGGGCUCAACCUGGGAACUGCAUUCGAAACUGGCGAGCUAGAGUAUGGUAGAGGAUAGUGGAAUUCCGGGUGUAGCGGUGAAAUGCGUAGAUAUCCGGAGGAACAUCAGUGGCGAAGGCGGCUAUCUGGACCAAUACUGACGCUGAGGUGCGAAAGCGUGGGGAGCAAACAGGAUUAGAAACCCUAGUAGUCC
This 274-nucleotide ribosomal RNA is filed under the name uncultured bacterium. RNAcentral's name for it is "partial 16S ribosomal RNA". It matches the Rfam family "Bacterial small subunit ribosomal RNA", at positions 523 to 796 of the family's 1533-position model. The record is from RNAcentral.